This 425-nucleotide ribosomal RNA is filed under the name uncultured bacterium. Its description in RNAcentral is "bacterial SSU rRNA". It matches the Rfam family "Bacterial small subunit ribosomal RNA", at positions 506 to 930 of the family's 1533-position model. The record is from RNAcentral.
AGCCAGCAGCCGCGGUAACACGGGGGGAGCAAGCGUUGUUCGGAUUCAUUGGGCGUAAAGAGCUCGUAGGUGGCUCUGUAAGUCGGUGGUGAAAGCCCACGGCUCAACCGUGGAUACGCCUCCGAAACUGUGGAGCUUGAGGCUGGGAGAGGAAAUCGGAAUUCCUGGUGUAGCGGUGAAAUGCGUAGAUAUCAGGAGGAACACCGGUGGCGAAGGCGGAUUUCUGGACCAGUUCUGACACUGAGGAGCGAAAGCCAGGGGAGCAAACAGGAUUAGAUACCCUGGUAGUCCUGGCUGUAAACGAUGGGCACUAGGUGUGGGGGGAUCGACCCCUUCCGUGCCGCAGUUAACGCAUUAAGUGCCCCGCCUGGGGAGUACGACCGCAAGGUUGAAACUCAAAGGAAUUGACGGGGGCCCGCACAAGG